UGGGCCCAUAGCUCAGUUAGUUAGAGCACACACUUGAUAAGCAUAAAAUCGAAAGUUCAAGUCUUCCCAGGCCCACCA
RNAcentral lists this transfer RNA (78 nucleotides) under Rhizobium leguminosarum bv. viciae. Its description in RNAcentral is "tRNA-Ile". It matches the Rfam family "tRNA". Rfam says of the family: Transfer RNA (tRNA) molecules are approximately 80 nucleotides in length. Their secondary structure includes four short double-helical elements and three loops (D, anti-codon, and T loops). Further hydrogen bonds mediate the characteristic L-shaped molecular structure. tRNAs have two regions of fundamental functional importance: the anti-codon, which is responsible for specific mRNA codon recognition, and the 3' end, to which the tRNAs corresponding amino acid is attached (by aminoacyl-tRNA synthetases). tRNAs cope with the degeneracy of the genetic code in two manners: having more than one tRNA (with a specific anti-codon) for a particular amino acid; and 'wobble' base-pairing, i.e. permitting non-standard base-pairing at the 3rd anti-codon position. The record is from RNAcentral. Lineage: Bacteria; Pseudomonadati; Pseudomonadota; Alphaproteobacteria; Hyphomicrobiales; Rhizobiaceae.